This is a long non-coding RNA of Pantherophis guttatus, 402 nucleotides long. RefSeq lists it as uncharacterized. The record is from RefSeq and is a predicted model, not a curated record. Lineage: Eukaryota; Metazoa; Chordata; Lepidosauria; Squamata; Colubridae.
CUGAAUAAUUCUGUUCCUGCUAACAUUGACCCAAAAUGAGUUGAGGAUGUUUAUUCUCUUGCUUAUUUAAGAUGGCUCAGGGUAAAAAAAAUAAGGCAGCAGAACAAUGAAAUUUCCUUAGUGGCAUGUGAUCGUCAAGGCAAAAUAUUACAGGUACAUACCAAGCAAAAUUAGCAUGCUACCACUAGUAUGCUCUUCCUGUGUAACACAGUAUCCCUGUUUGGUUAUUCGGCACCAAAACCAGGGUAGAAACGAGGACAGUCAAUAGCAACAUAGGACAAUUUCAAGGUGUCUAAAAUCUGGAACCUUUUUAACAGUUAUGUUGGUGGCACGGUCAGAUGACUUGCAGGAGGUGAAGAUUUUUGUGCAUCCUGGAGCACAGCUCGGACAGGGUGGCCAGUG